RNAcentral lists this transfer RNA (73 nucleotides) under Pangasianodon gigas (Mekong giant catfish). RNAcentral describes it as "tRNA-Lys". It matches the Rfam family "tRNA". From Rfam's summary of the family: Transfer RNA (tRNA) molecules are approximately 80 nucleotides in length. Their secondary structure includes four short double-helical elements and three loops (D, anti-codon, and T loops). Lineage: Eukaryota; Metazoa; Chordata; Actinopteri; Siluriformes; Pangasiidae. The record is from RNAcentral.
GCCUGCCUUGCUCAGUUGGUAGGGCAUGAGACUCUUAAUCUCAGGAUCAUAGGUUUGAGCCCAAUGUCAGGUG